UGGGUAAUAGCUCAGUGGUAGAACGUGUGUUUGGCGUGCACAAGGUCCCGGGUUCAAUCCCCAGUGCCUCCG
This 72-nucleotide transfer RNA is filed under the name Camelus bactrianus (Bactrian camel). It matches the Rfam family "tRNA". From Rfam's summary of the family: Transfer RNA (tRNA) molecules are approximately 80 nucleotides in length. Their secondary structure includes four short double-helical elements and three loops (D, anti-codon, and T loops). Lineage: Eukaryota; Metazoa; Chordata; Mammalia; Artiodactyla; Camelidae. RNAcentral also lists the same sequence under 2 other names. The record is from Rfam by way of RNAcentral.